RNAcentral lists this ribosomal RNA (217 nucleotides) under uncultured bacterium. Its description in RNAcentral is "partial 16S ribosomal RNA". It matches the Rfam family "Bacterial small subunit ribosomal RNA", at positions 122 to 334 of the family's 1533-position model. The record is from RNAcentral.
UAACCUGCCUGGUAGCGGGGGAUAACUAUUGGAGACGAUAGCUAAUACCGCAUAACAGUAGAUGUUGCAUGACAUUUGCUUAAAAGGUGCAAUUGCAUCACUACCAGAUGGACCUGCGUUGUAUUAGCUAGUUGGUGGGGUAACGGCUCACCAAGGCGACGAUACAUAGCCGACCUGAGAGGGUGAUCGGCCACACUGGGACUGAGACACGGCCCAG